ACUUUCAACGGUGGAUCUCUUGGCUCGUGCAUCGAUGAAGAACGUGGCAAGACGCGAAAUGUAGUGUGAAUUGCAGAAUUCCGUGAAUCAUUGAAUCUUCGAACGCACAUUGCGCCUGUGUGUGUGGGCAUGCGCCAUUGUGUGCGUGUCUGUGCGUGCGGGCAUGUCUGCCUGAGUGUCGCCACUCAAUCUCAUUGACAAUGCGCUUUUGUGUGCUUAUGAGGGUGUGAGUGUAUGUGUGUGGGUGUAUUUGAUUACUGAACUAUGCAGCAGCAGCAGCGCACCUUUGUUGGUGUGGUGUUUGUUUGUUGCGUAGCAGUAUGAAGAAAUGCCCAUGCAUGCAUGCACUCGUAUCUCAUUUGCACACUGUGCAUUGUUAGUGGCCAUGGGGUGUUAGUCGAUGCGUGCACACACACAUUUUUGCUGUGUGUUUGUAUUGUGUGAGACUGGACCCUGAAGAGGAGAGCUUACGACUCCAUUGCGAUGAUAAUUGUGAUGGUGACUGUGAUGAAGAAGGAGUGGGUGUUUGUGUGUGUGAGCAUGUGGAUUGCAUUGCACGAUGAUACGAUGCCUUGUGCGUUGUGUUGUCGUUGUUGAUGUGAUUCACACACAUACACGCAUCCCACUUCUCUAUUCUCAUACUGUUGUCAUCACUCACUGUCGCCGUGUGGGUGCCGUUGUUGCGAGACCACGGCAAGCACACGCAUGCUGUUUCUGCAUAUGCAGCAGGAUACAACAAGCUGUGGAGCGAUGUGUCAACUGACAUCGUUGUUCUGCAGCGUGUGUAUGCUGUGUGUGUGUGCAGAGGCAUGUGCACUUGUGUGCUUGCAUCUUUAUGUGGCUUUUGUGACACUGGUCAUGUGAGCAAAACACUGUGAUGAAGAAGAGAGGGAAGUAUGGGCGAGAGAAGCUGGAAUAGUGAUGGACGGAGCACUGUUUGUUUGUGUGCACUGCACUGCACUUGUUGCAGUGUAUGCGCACAAACGACUGUAUCCAUCCAUUGCUCCACUCCACUUCAUUUCUCUCUCAAACCCCUUCCCCCUCUACUCAUUUCUCAUUGUUGACCUCAGGUCAGGCAAGGGUACCCCCUGAACUUAAGCAUAUCACUAAGGGGAGGAAGAGAAACUAACAAGGAUUCCUCAGUAACGGCGAGUGAAGCGGGAAGAGCUCAAGCAUUGGAAUCUCCACAAGCUUCUUUUUAUUGUGGCGAGUUGUAGUCUUUAUGGGAUGCGGGCCGUCGCAUGUCUUUGUGAUGGUGCAUGUUGUUCGCAAUGUGCAUUGUUGUUUGGCGCAGCACCGAGUUUCCUUGGAAGAGGACACCGGAGUAGGGUGAGAGUCCCGUUGGUGCUACAUUAUUUGCGCUGAUGUGCGGUGUGUGGUCCGUUUAUUCUCUUGAGUCGGGUUGUUUGGGAAUGCAGCCCAAAGCCGGGUGGUAAACUGCAUCCAAGGCUAAAUACUGGCACGAGACCGAUAGCGAACAAGUACCGUGAGGGAAAGAUGAAAAGCACUUUGAAAAGAGAGUUAAACAGUACGUGAAACCGUUGACAGAGAAUCGCUUGCAGCUAGCAGAGACUGGGCGCGCCUUGUGAUCAGGGCUUUUGGUGUGGUGUGUGAUGAUGUUGCGGGGGGUGUUUUGUGUGCACUUGUUGCACAUAUGCGCCGCUGCGUUGCUGUUGUUGUGUGCUGCGCUGCCUGCACUCGCGGGGCGUGUCUGCCAGCAUGAGUUUUGUGUGUGAGAGACGGCGAUGCGAGGGCGCCCUUGUGCGUGGCGCAUCUGCUUUUUAUGUUUCUGUCGCACGCGGGACUGAGGAAAUUAUCGAUGCGGUGGCUUUGUUAUGUGGUCUUUGGCAUGGGUGCUGUUUUCGGCAUUGUGUUGCGCAGACUCUUGUUUUGGGAUGGGAGACUCGUUCUCUUGUGCUGUUGACAGAGUGUGUGCGGGCAGUGUUGGGAAUGUUGCGCUUGCCGCUUGGCGCACACCACCGGGGAGAUGCUGGCGACAGGGCUGCAAACGGCCCGUCUUGAAACACGGACCAAGGAGUCUAACAUGUGCGCGAGUGUUUUAGCGAGCAUGAAGCUAGGGCGCGCAAUGAAAGUGAGAGGUGGGAUGCAGUGUUAUUGUUGUGCGUCUCGGCGUGCAAUCAGCAGCACUCGCAGCACCAUCGACCGAUC
Molecule: ribosomal RNA, 2169 nt
Filed under: Salpingoeca rosetta
Lineage: Eukaryota; Choanoflagellata; Craspedida; Salpingoecidae
Description: 28S ribosomal RNA
Rfam family: Eukaryotic large subunit ribosomal RNA (bases 1062-2169)
Source: RNAcentral